This 253-nucleotide ribosomal RNA is filed under the name uncultured bacterium. RNAcentral describes it as "partial 16S ribosomal RNA". It matches the Rfam family "Bacterial small subunit ribosomal RNA", at positions 524 to 776 of the family's 1533-position model. The record is from RNAcentral.
UACAGAGGUCUCAAGCGUUGUUCGGAUUCAUUGGGCGUAAAGGGUGUGUAGGUGGCGCCGUAAGUCGGGUGUGAAAUUUCGGAGCUUAACUCCGAAACUGCAUUCGGUACUGCGGUGCUUGAGGACUGGAGAGGAGACUGGAAUUCAUGGUGUAGCAGUGAAAUGCGUAGAGAUCAUGAGGAAGACCAGUGGCGAAGGCGGGUCUCUGGACAGUUCCUGACACUGAGACACGAAGGCCAGGGGAGCAAACGGG